Molecule: RNA transcript, 3970 nt
Organism: Eubalaena glacialis (North Atlantic right whale)
Lineage: Eukaryota; Metazoa; Chordata; Mammalia; Artiodactyla; Balaenidae
Gene: ZDHHC7
Gene name: zinc finger DHHC-type palmitoyltransferase 7
Exons: 10
Source: RefSeq, a predicted model, not a curated record
CGCCAAGCUCUCCAGGUUGGGUUCUGUCUCUCGUGUCCACUCGGAGGCCGCCUCCCUCCGACCGGACCGGCAGGACCGAGCCGAGCCGCGGGGUCCCCUCCGGCCCGGCCAUGAGUGCGGCCGCAUGAUGCGUCCCUGCCUCGGCCGCUGCAGUCGCCGCCGCCGCCGCCGCAGGCCGGGAGGAGCCGCAGCGCCGGGCGACCCCGCCCGGGCCUCGGAUCCUAUCACAUAGGAUAGUAUGCACCUUAAGAUCCUGAAGAAAAGGCACAAAAUGUUCAAGUAAUGUCUAAAAGUAACUUGUGAGGGAAGCCAUGCCGUCAUCAGGACACCGGCUCCGGGAUGUCGAACAUCAUCCCCUGCUGACCGAAAGUGACAACUACGACUCUUCUUCCUCCUCUUCAUCCGAGGCCGACGUGGCAGACAGGGUCUGGUUCAUCCGCGACGGCUGUGGCAUGAUCUGUGCUGUCGUGACGUGGCUGCUGGUCGUGUAUGCGGACUUCGUGGUGACGUUCGUCAUGCUGCUGCCUUCCAAAGACUUCUGGUACUCCGUGGUCAAUGGAGUCGUUUUUAACUGCCUGGCGGUGCUUGCCCUGUCGUCUCACUUGAGGACCAUGCUCACCGACCCCGGGGCAGUACCCAAAGGGAAUGCUACUAAAGAGUACAUGGAGAGUUUGCAGCUGAAGCCUGGAGAAGUGAUCUACAAGUGCCCCAAGUGCUGCUGUGUCAAGCCCGAGCGCGCCCACCACUGCAGUAUUUGCAAAAGAUGUAUUCGGAAAAUGGAUCAUCACUGCCCUUGGGUGAACAAUUGUGUCGGAGAAAAGAAUCAGAGAUUUUUCGUGCUCUUCACUAUGUACAUCGCGCUGGCGUCCGUGCACGCGCUCGUGCUCUGCGGGCUGCAGUUCGUCGCCUGCGUCCGAGGGCAGUGGAAUGAAUGCAGUGAUUUUUCACCUCCAGUCACUGUAAUCCUGUUGAUCUUCCUGUGCCUUGAGGGUCUGCUGUUUUUCACUUUCACCGCAGUGAUGUUCGGCACCCAGAUCCACUCCAUAUGCAACGAUGAAACGGAGAUUGAGAGGCUGAAGAGUGAGAAGCCGACGUGGGAGCGGAGGCUGCGGUGGGAGGGGAUGAAGUCUGUCUUUGGGGGCCCCCCCUCGCUGCUCUGGAUGAACCCCUGCGUCGGCUUCCGAUUCAGGCGACUGCCGACGAGACCUAGGAAAGGGGGCCCCGAGUUCUCGGUGUGAGGCUCUCGCAUCAUGCUGGGACUUGUUCACGGACUUUAUUUAUUUGGGGUCGGAAAGGGUAUCGACAGCUCACCUGCGACCAGUAGGGCAAGUGCAGACCAGUUGCUUGCAGCAAGCAGAGUUUUAUCCGUUUACGGUCACAGAUGGCGGAGUUCCCACACUAACUGGGUGGCGCUCUGAUCCGUGUCACCGUCCAGUAACAAAGGGACGUGGCCGCACGAAGAAGCCAAAUGUCAUUAUCUUCCUGCACAGUUAGGAGUUUUGUUAACAUACUUGGCAUUCUUUAAGAAGUUUUGUGGGUUGUUACACGGGUUAUUAAAAUCCUGUGUGCUGAGCUGCUUUUCUCAGGCAUGAAGAAAACGAGCCAAGCCAGUGACCAGGGAUUAUUCUGCGGCUGGUGGCUUCGGGGAGCUCCGCCGGCCCCGUGAUUCCCGAGGGCCCGCCUCGGUCCAGGAGGGGCCUGGAUGCAGGAGCCGCAGGCGCUGCAGUUAUAGGUCUGUGCAGACUUAAUAAAACUAGAGAUGAAAAACUAGACAUUAUAACCGAUGCCAGAGGAAGAAGAAUGGUCACAAGAGACCACUACGAACAAUUACGGGCCGGCAAACUGGAUAACCCAGAAGAAGAGGAUCAAUUCCUAGAAUCAGAAACUUACCAAGACUAAAUCACGAAGAAACAGCACACCACUUGAAAACGCCAGCCGAGGACAUUGUGUGGAACGAGUCAGGAAGGGAGAAAUGAAGGCUCCUACCCAGCCCCAGACCAAGGGUGACGAGCUGCUGCAGACCACGUGGACCUCCCGGAGCUUUAAAGAUGGCGCCACAGGAACGGUGACCUGGUUGCAGGUCACAUGGUCACCACACAUUUUCCAAGUAACAAACACAGCAACUCCGGGUAAGACUAAACAGCGGCAGGAAUCAGCGAUGACGUCAUUUAAUUCCAACUCAUGAAACUUGGUGUUGCCACCGUUAUGCCGUCUCCCUUCCUGUGGCAUCAGCCCAUUGUUCCUAAAAAUUUCUGGCCCAUUUUCUUGUCAUCUCCUCUCUCCACCCAAGCGGGCAACAGACACUUGGCUCUAUGGCUGUGAUUUUUUUUCCAGUGCUGGAACAUCCCAAAGAAGCACGACUUUGAAGGCUGACUGGAGAUGAGCUGGGAGCAAGCACUUACAUUUACUUGGGUCCCUAAAGCCCCCAGCUUCUUCUCAAGAGUCGUUUACACACGAGGACCCACAGAAGUGAACGCCCUGCAAGGCCUUCUUCUCGUGAGGACAUCACCGUGUUGUCCAAAUACAUCCAACAUUUUACACACUGACACCUUAAUGAACACACAAAUUCCCUGCAUCCGAGUAAAAUGUAGAUUCUGAUUCAGCAGGUCCUGGGCACGGCCUGAGACUCUGCAUUUCUAACCAACUCCUGGUGGUGCUGUUGCUGCUGGCCCAUGGCCCACACUUUGAGUAGCAAAGUCUAGAUGCCAGCCAACAUGGGACGCGUUAAUUACCCUAUGGUAGCUGCGCAGUCAAAGUAUUAACCAUUUGGCAACGUUGAAACAUACUUCGCUUGUGCGGGCGAAGAGGACAACCCUCGCUUACACUCCUAUGUCAGGAUGACAUGCACGGGCACACACGCACGUCUGUAUAAAGUCGAAACAGGAAGGGAACAGAGCGCAAUGAGAGCAUUUGGAUUUGCUCAGUGACGAGCCUUUCAGAAAAUCUCAAUUUUUAAGUCCUCAUAGGUUUGUACAAUAAACAGGUUUUUUUAAGUACAUGACCCAGAAAGAAGGCUACUGAGUUGAGCCGCUCGCCGUCUACUUUAAAAGGAUGUUUAGAACCGCCUCAUUCUGAGGACUGCCUAUGGCUUAACGAGACAGGCCUGGACGGUGACACGGCUCAUACAGGCUGAAGGAAAAGGCAGGAAAAGGCAGAUUAUUUAAGCAGGCAACGCGUCAGUCGGUGGGGUGGUCCCUUCAGCGGUGUCACGUGGGAGGGGAGAGUCGCAGUGCUGCAGAGCCAGCACCCCGGCUGCUGUUGGGGUUUGGUGAGGCCUGCGGCAGCGCAGGGCGGUCCUCGCUGACCUGCCGCCCUGCAGUGACCCUGGCUGCUUCCCAGCCACCCCGAGGAAGGGGUCACCCAGCUCUGAAGCCACUUCCCCUGAGUGGCAGGCCUGUCUUAAGGCCCGGAGACAUCAUCAACUCAGUGCGGAGGUGGCCAGGGCCCACUUUGAAGGGGACAUGGUCCUUUGGGUACACAAGCUCUGGCUUAUUCGAGACACAGUGUUAUCUUGAGUCCACAGGCGCACCGGCGCACCAGCCCUGAAAUCCUCUCCCCAGCAGGCGCCCGGCAUGGGACGGCCAAGCUCGACGUGCCAUCUAGCCACAGGUCGACAGGCCCGUGGGCACCAGGAAACUGAGGCUCACAGGCAGCAACCAGCCCUCUGACAAACCAGCACCGUCCCCAGGCUGGUAGAACUUGCUUGAGUUCCAAGAAAAGCUCCAAGUGCGAGGUUAAAGAAUAGUAAUGAUCGCCAGGACGCAGUUUUGACGUUUCCGGUUUCCAAAAUGCCUUCCUAUACAUGAUCUGAUUGCAUUUUCCCUACGACCUUCAGGCAGAUAACAGUAUACCCAUUUUAUAGACCAAAAAAACUGAGUUUCGUCCAGGUUACAGGAUGUGCCCAGGUUCUCACAGGUAGGGAGAAAGGAGGGAUUCCCCACGGGCGUUUUGGCUAGAAUAAAAGCACUUU